UGCUAGUUGUACGAGCUUAGACUCGUUGCGAAAAGCUCAGUAACACGUGGACAAACUACCCUACGGAGAACGAUAACCUCGGGAAACUGAGGCUAAUAGUUCAUAGAGGAGUCACGCUGGAAUGCCGACUCUCCCAAACGCUCAGGCGCCGUAGGAUGUGUCUGCGGCCGAUUAGGUAGACGGUGGGGUAACGGCCCACCGUGCCGAUAAUCGGUACGGGUUGUGAGAGCAAGAGCCCGGAGACGGAAUCUGAGACAAGAUUCCGGGCCCUACGGGGCGCAGCAGGCGCGAAACCUUUACACUGUACGCAAGUGCGAUAAGGGGACCCCAAGUGCGAGGGCAUAUAGUCCUCGCUUUUCCCGACUGUAAGGCGGUCGGGGAAUAAGGGCUGGGCAAGACCGGUGCCAGCCGCCGCGGUAAUACCGGCAGCCCAAGUGAUGACCGAUAUUAUUGGGCCUAAAGCGUCCGUAGCCGGCCACGAAGGUCUAUCGGGAAAUCCGCCAGCUCAACUGGCGGGCGUCCGGUAGAAACCACGUGGCUUGGGACCGGAAGGCUCGAGGGGUACGUCCGGGGUAGGAGUGAAAUCCCGUAAUCCUGGACGGACCACCGAUGGCGAAAGCACCUCGAGAAGACGGAUCCGACGGUGAGGGACGAAAGCUAGGGUCUCGAACCGGAUUAGAUACCCGGGUAGUCCUAGCUGUAAACGAUGCUCGCUAGGUGUGGCACAGGCUACGAGCCUGUGCUGUGCCGUAGGGAAGCCGAGAAGCGAGCCGCCUGGGAAGUACGUCCGCAAGGAUGAAACUUAA
Molecule: ribosomal RNA, 806 nt
Filed under: uncultured euryarchaeote
Lineage: Archaea; Methanobacteriati; Methanobacteriota
Description: bacterial SSU rRNA
Rfam family: Archaeal small subunit ribosomal RNA
Source: RNAcentral